GGAUUGUGGCUCAGUGGUAGAGCGCUCGCCUGGCACAUGCAGGGCCCUGGGUUCGAUCCUCAGCACCA
This 68-nucleotide transfer RNA is filed under the name Marmota monax (woodchuck). RNAcentral's name for it is "tRNA.Ala". The record is from RNAcentral. Lineage: Eukaryota; Metazoa; Chordata; Mammalia; Rodentia; Sciuridae.